UACGUAGGUGGCAAGCGUUGUCCGGAAUUAUUGGGCGUAAAGCGCGCGUAGGCGGCUUUGCAAGUCGGGUGUGAAAUCCCCAGGCUUAACCUGGGAACUGCAUUCGAGACUGCAUUGCUAGAGUAUGGGAGAGGGAAGUGGAAGUUCCGGUGUAGCGGUGAAAUGCGUAGAUAUCGGAAGGAACAUCAGUGGCGAAAGCGACUUCCUGGACCAAUACUGACGCUCAUGUGCGAAAGCGUGGGGAGCAAACAGG
RNAcentral lists this ribosomal RNA (253 nucleotides) under uncultured bacterium. Its description in RNAcentral is "partial 16S ribosomal RNA". It matches the Rfam family "Bacterial small subunit ribosomal RNA", at positions 524 to 776 of the family's 1533-position model. The record is from RNAcentral.